AACGAACGCUGGCGGCGUGGAUAAGACAUGCAAGUCGAACGGGAACUUCAGGCUGUAGCAAUACAGUUGAAGUUUUAGUGGCGAACGGGUGCGUAACACGUGGGCAAGUCUGCCGAGGAAAGUGGGGGAUAGCUCGCCGAAAGGCGAAUUAUACCGCAUAUGAGUCAGCUAAGACAUCUUAGCGACAUCAAAGCCGGGGCAACCUGGCGCUUUUUUGAGGAGCCCGCGGCCUAUCAGCUAGUUGGUGAGGUAACGGCUCACCAA
RNAcentral lists this ribosomal RNA (264 nucleotides) under uncultured bacterium. RNAcentral describes it as "partial 16S ribosomal RNA". It matches the Rfam family "Bacterial small subunit ribosomal RNA", at positions 29 to 271 of the family's 1533-position model. The record is from RNAcentral.